Molecule: ribosomal RNA, 408 nt
Filed under: uncultured bacterium
Lineage: Bacteria
Description: partial 16S ribosomal RNA
Rfam family: Bacterial small subunit ribosomal RNA
Source: RNAcentral
GACGAACGCUGGCGGCGUGCUUAACACAUGCAAGUCGAACGAAGUGGCGAACGGGUGAGUAAUACGUGAGUAACCUGCCCUCCUUUUUGGGAUAAGCCUUGGAAACGGGGUCUAAUACCGGAUAACGGGGGAUGGGCUCGCGGCCUAUCAGCCUGUUGGUGGGGUGAUGGCCUACCAAGGCGGUGACGGGUAGCCGGCCUGAGAGGGUGACCGGCAACAUGGGGACUGAGAUACGGACCAGACGCCUACGGGAGGCAGCAGUGGGGAAUCUUCCACAAUGGACGAAAGUCUGACGGAGCAACGCCGCGUGCGGUAUGACGGCCUUCGGGUUGUAAACCGCUUUCAGCCAUGACGCGGUAGUGGCAGAAGAAGCACCGGCUAACUACGUGCCAGCAGCCGCGGUAAUUC